Molecule: long non-coding RNA, 556 nt
Filed under: Dermacentor andersoni
Lineage: Eukaryota; Metazoa; Arthropoda; Arachnida; Ixodida; Ixodidae
Description: uncharacterized LOC126524758
Source: RNAcentral
CGACACCUAUGGAGCAUCUAGAAUUGCUGCAGACCUCCUGAAGUGCACCACACUUGCUGUGCUCCUAGUUUUCGGCGCGUACCCGACAGCACAGAACAACUACCCAAUAAUCCGUCAUGGUCCUUUAUACACUCUUCUCGAUGUCGCCCAAGUGGUACUACUUCUAGUGACGGCAUCCCUUGGAGCUGCAAAAGGCAUUUUCACGCUGCUAGCGAGCAACAUGGAAAAUCUGACCGUAGUGACGAUAAUAGGAGUCACGGCAAAUUUUGCCGUGGGAUUGUCAUACGCAAUCGUGUUGUUGCUCGUGUGGGAACGAUGGAGACGAUGCCUGCCGCCAUCGGGAUUCGCAUGCAGCUUACUUGGUUAUAUGACGGCCGCUAUGGUUUUGGACGCACAUCAGGACAUGGAAGCAAUCCGAACCCGAAAGGAAAUCGAACUUAACAAGGACGUUCUCACAGAAGUGAACUUACUUAUCAGCUUCCUACUUGUUGUCUGGACAUCAGGAAAUUUCAUUGUCGCCGGCGUGCGUGAUCUGGUGAUAUCAAGAUCGAGCCUA